This is a long non-coding RNA of Trifolium pratense (red clover), 498 nucleotides long. RefSeq lists it as uncharacterized. The record is from RefSeq and is a predicted model, not a curated record. The transcript has 3 exons. NCBI's taxonomy places the organism in Eukaryota, Viridiplantae, Streptophyta, Magnoliopsida, Fabales, Fabaceae.
ACUUCUUUCUCUCUUAAUUCUCUCUCAAUUAUGUGUGUAUGUUCUUGCUUUAAUUAAGUUCCAACACGAUGAACCCUAUCAAAAUCACUAAUUCUUCAAUCGAUUUUCCAUCUUCUUCAUCUCUAUUUUCGUGUUCCAUAUCCGAGCAUUGUGUUCUUGUUGCAGUUGUAGAAGAACACAAAUUUAGCUCUCAAGAAUAGUUCGAAUUUGCGUGCACAAGGAGGAGAAGAAGAAAUAUUUUGAAUUUGCGGAUCUGAAGGAGAAGAUUGUUAGAUCCAGGACUCUUAGUGCUUUCAAUUUUGCCUAUAGAGACGAUUCUGGAAAGCUUGUCGACAGAACACAAUCUGAAGUUACACCAGUAGCUGAGAAUGUUGACAAAACACAAUCUCAAGAAUAUUUUUGUGGUUUUCAAUGUGAAUGUAUGGCUCUAUUUUGGGGAGUCCUGAUUUGGAAAAAAAGAAGGCUAAAGGAGUAUUGCUAGAAAGUGGACUUCCAUAC